GGGGAGGUAGUGACGAAAAAUAACAAUACAAGACUCAUAUCCGAGGCCUUGUAAUUGGAAUGAGUACACUUUAAAUCCUUUAACGAGGACCAAUUGGAGGGCAAGUCUGGUGCCAGCAGCCGCGGUAAUUCCAGCUCCAAUAGCGUAUAUUAAAGUUGUUGCGGUUAAAACGUUCGUAGUUGAAUUUGUGUUCCAUACGGGUAGUACACCUAAAAUAUUGGUUCGUACAUUACCUUUUAGUUAUGUGAACGUAUUACCGGUGGAGUUUAUUUUGUUAAAAAUUCAUUUUUGAAUUUUUUAACAAAUAUCUCCUAUAUAAACCUGCUUCAAUGCUCUUUACCGGGUGUUGUAGUGGGCCGGUACAAUUACUUUGAACAAAUUAGAGUGCUUAAAGCAGGCUCCAAAUGCCUGAAUAUUUUGUGCAUGGAAUAAUGGAAUAAGACCUCUGUUCUACUUUCAUUGGUUUUUAGAUCAAGAGGUAAUGAUUAAUAGAAGCAGUUGGGGGCAUUAGUAUUACGACGCGAGAGGUGAAAUUCUUGGACCGUCGUAGGACUAACUUAAGCGAAAGCAUUUGCCAAAGAUGUUUUCAUUAAUCAAGAACGAAAGUUAGAGGUCCGAAGGCGAUCAGAUACCGCCCUAGUUCUAACCAUAAACGAUGCCAGCUAGCAAUUGGGUGUAGCUACUAUUAUGGCUUUCUCAGUCGCUUCCCGGGAAACCAAAGCUUUUGGGCUCCGGGGGAAGUAUGGUUGCAAAGCUGAAACUUAAAGGAAUUGACGGAAGGGCACCACCAGGAGUGGAGCCUGCGGCUUAAUUUGACUCAACACGGGAAAACUUACCAGGUCCGAACAUAAAUGAGUAAGACAGAUUGAUAGCUCUUUCUCGAAUCUAUGGGUGGUGGUGCAUGGCCGUUCUUAGUUCGUGGAGUGAUUUGUCUGGUUAAUUCCGAUAACGAACGAGACUCAAAUAUAUUAAAUAGAUGCAUUCAGGAUUAUGAUGUUUGAAACUUAACAUAUCCUUCUUGCAUGAACUAUAGCAAUAUAUAAUUGUUUGAAGUGUUUUAUGUAAGUGGAGUCGUACCUGUUUGUUUGUCCCAUUAAUACGGACACUAGCUUCUUAAAUGGACAAAUUGCGUCUAGCAAUAAUGAGAUUGAGCAAUAACAGGUCUGUGAUGCCCUUAGAUGUCCUGGGCUGCACGCGCGCUACAAUGAAAGUAUCAACGUGUAUUUCCUAGACCGAGAGGUCCGGGUAAACCGCUGAAUCACUUUCAUGCUUGGGAUUGUGAACUGAAACUGUUCACAUGAACCUGGAAUUCCCAGUAAGUGCGAGUCAUUAACUCGCAUUGAUUACGUCCCUGCCCUUUGUACACACCGCCCGUCGCUACUACCGAUUGAAUUAUUUAGUGAGGUCUCCGGACGUGAUCACUGUGACGCGCUUUGUGUGUUUCGGAUGUUUCACCGAAGUUGACCGAACUUGAUUAUUUAGAGGAAGUAAAAGUCGUAAC
RNAcentral lists this ribosomal RNA (1501 nucleotides) under Irwiniana irwini. RNAcentral's name for it is "SSU rRNA". It matches the Rfam family "Eukaryotic small subunit ribosomal RNA", at positions 458 to 1795 of the family's 1831-position model. Lineage: Eukaryota; Metazoa; Arthropoda; Insecta; Diptera; Scenopinidae. The record is from RNAcentral.